AUGGUGAAACCCCAUCUUAAAUAAAUAAAAAAAAAAAAAAAGAAGAUUAGCAUGGCCCCUAUGCAAGGAUGACAUGCAAAUUCAUGAAGCGUUCCAGAAAAUU
Small nuclear RNA from Saimiri boliviensis boliviensis (Bolivian squirrel monkey), 103 nucleotides. The record is from RefSeq and is a predicted model, not a curated record. Lineage: Eukaryota; Metazoa; Chordata; Mammalia; Primates; Cebidae.